This 500-nucleotide ribosomal RNA is filed under the name uncultured Myrionecta. RNAcentral's name for it is "bacterial SSU rRNA". It matches the Rfam family "Eukaryotic small subunit ribosomal RNA", at positions 1212 to 1799 of the family's 1831-position model. Lineage: Eukaryota; Ciliophora; Litostomatea; Cyclotrichida; Mesodiniidae. The record is from RNAcentral.
AACUUAUCAGGUCAAGACAUGGGCGUGAUUGACAGGCUAAUGACUUUUCUCGAUUCCAUGGAUGGUGGUGCAUGGUCGCACUUAGUUGGUGCAGUGAUUUGUCAGGUUUAUUCCGGUAACGAACGAGACCUCGGCCUUGUAAAUAGCUAUGCUGCUUACAGGGACAUUGGCGGCUACGCCAAGGAAGCUCGAGGCAAUUGCAGAUCUGGAAUGCCCUUAGAUGUCCUGGGUCGCACGCGUGCUACAAUGACGCCACGAACGAGCUUGCGUGAUGAAAGUUACGCAUAAUCAGCAGUCGGCGUCUUAAGGGAUAGUCUCUUGUAACUGUGGGACUCCAACUAGGAAUGUCUCGUAAGCACAAGUCAACAUCUUGUGUUGAUUACGUCCCUGCUCUUUGUACACACCGCCCGUCGCUCCUACCGAUCGAGUGUUUAGGUGAAUUUGAUGGACGUAAGGAAGUCAAAUAAACCUGAGCACUAGAGAAGGAGAAGUUGAUCAGU